RNAcentral lists this non-coding RNA (103 nucleotides) under Desulfosporosinus acidiphilus. RNAcentral's name for it is "TPP sequence". It matches the Rfam family "TPP riboswitch aptamer (THI element)". Rfam says of the family: Vitamin B(1) in its active form thiamin pyrophosphate (TPP) is an essential coenzyme that is synthesised by coupling of pyrimidine and thiazole moieties in bacteria. The previously detected thiamin-regulatory element, thi box was extended, resulting in a new, highly conserved RNA secondary structure, the THI element, which is widely distributed in eubacteria and also occurs in some archaea. Analysis of operon structures identified a large number of new candidate thiamin-regulated genes, mostly transporters, in various prokaryotic organisms. Lineage: Bacteria; Bacillati; Bacillota; Clostridia; Eubacteriales; Desulfitobacteriaceae. The record is from RNAcentral.
AUUAACUGCUAGGGGUGCCGUAACAGGCUGAGAUUGAGAGUUCUCUUAACCCUUCAAACCUGAUCCGGGUAAUACCGGCGUAGGGAAGCAAUGUGCGUCUAAU